UAUUCGCCAGAAUAACAUUAGCAUGGAAUAAUACUAUAGGAUCUCGAUCUAUUUUGUUGGUUUCUAGAGUUGGGAUAAUGAUUAAUAGGGACAAUUGGGGGCAUUCGUAUCGACACGUCGGAGGUGGAAUUCUUGGAUUGUGUUGCGACGAACUACUGCGAAAGCAUUUGCCAAGGAUGUUUUCAUUGAUCAAGAACGAAAGUAAGGGGAUCGAAGACGAUUAGAUACCGUCGUAGUCUUUACCAUAAACUAUGCCAACUAGAGAUGGGACAUGUAUAUUCAUGACUUGUUCCGCACCUUAUGAGAUAUCAAAGUCUUUGGGUUCCGGGGGGAGUAUGGUCGCAAGGCUGAAACUUAAAGGAAUUGACGGAAGGGCACCACCAGGAGUGGAGCCUGCGGCUUAAUUUGACUCAACACGGGGAAACUCACCAGGUCCAGACAUAAUAAGGAUUGACAGAUUGAUAGCUCUUUCUUGAUUUUAUGGGUGGUGGUGCAUGGCCGUUCUUAGUUCGUGGAGUGAUUUGUCUGCUUAAUUGCGUUAACGAACGAGACCUUAACCUGCUAAAUAGAAGCGCAUAUCUUCGGAUAAGCGCCUUUCUUCUUAGAGGGACUUUGUGCGAUUAGCGCAGGGAAGUUUGAGGCUAAAACAGGUCUGUGAUGCCCUUAGAUGUUCUGGGCUGCACGCGCGCUACACUGAUGCGUUCAACGAGUGUACAACCUUGCCCGAUAGGGUUGGGUAAUCUUUUGAACACGCAUCGUGAUGGGGAUAGAUUAUUGCAAUUAUUAAUCUUCAACGAGGAAUUCCUAGUAAUGAUGAAUCAUCAGUUCAUCGUGAUUACGUCCCUGCCCUUUGUACACACCGCCCGUCGCUCCUACCGAUUGAGCAAUCCGGUGAAUAUUUCGGACCGUGGCUAAUCUCACGAGCGGCCUCGGAAAGUCAAGUAAACCUUAUUGCUUAGAGGAAGGAGAAGUCGUAACAAGGUUUCCGUAG
RNAcentral lists this ribosomal RNA (991 nucleotides) under uncultured Syndiniales. Its description in RNAcentral is "SSU rRNA". It matches the Rfam family "Eukaryotic small subunit ribosomal RNA", at positions 788 to 1808 of the family's 1831-position model. Lineage: Eukaryota; Dinophyceae; Syndiniales. The record is from RNAcentral.